Molecule: ribosomal RNA, 364 nt
Filed under: uncultured eukaryote
Lineage: Eukaryota
Description: partial 18S ribosomal RNA
Rfam family: Eukaryotic small subunit ribosomal RNA
Source: RNAcentral
CAAAAGCGUAUAUUAAAGUUGUUGCAGUUAAAAAGCUCGUAGUUUAACCUUGGGCUUGGCUGGCCGGUCCAUCUUUUUUGAUGCGUACUGGACCCAGCCGAGCCUUUCCUUCUGGCUAGCCUUUUGGCGAACCAGGACUUUUACUUUGAAAAAAUUAGAGUGUUCAAAGCAGGCCUUUGCUCGAAUAUAUUAGCAUGGAAUAAUAGAAUAGGACGUUAUGGUUCUAUUUUGUUGGUUUCUAGGACCAUCGUAAUGAUUAAUAGGGACGGUCGGGGGUAUCAGUAUUCAGUUGUCAGAGGUGAAAUUCUUGGAUUUACUGAAGACUAACUACUGCGAAAGCAUUUACCAAGGACGUUUUCAUUAA